GCGGACGUGGCGGAAUUGGUAGACGCGCUAGAUUUAGGUUCUAGUAUCGCAAGAUGUGAGAGUUCAAGUCUCUCCGUCCGCACCA
RNAcentral lists this transfer RNA (85 nucleotides) under Blastopirellula sp. RNAcentral describes it as "tRNA-Leu". It matches the Rfam family "tRNA". Rfam says of the family: Transfer RNA (tRNA) molecules are approximately 80 nucleotides in length. Their secondary structure includes four short double-helical elements and three loops (D, anti-codon, and T loops). Further hydrogen bonds mediate the characteristic L-shaped molecular structure. tRNAs have two regions of fundamental functional importance: the anti-codon, which is responsible for specific mRNA codon recognition, and the 3' end, to which the tRNAs corresponding amino acid is attached (by aminoacyl-tRNA synthetases). tRNAs cope with the degeneracy of the genetic code in two manners: having more than one tRNA (with a specific anti-codon) for a particular amino acid; and 'wobble' base-pairing, i.e. permitting non-standard base-pairing at the 3rd anti-codon position. RNAcentral also lists the same sequence under 1 other name. Lineage: Bacteria; Pseudomonadati; Planctomycetota; Planctomycetia; Pirellulales; Pirellulaceae. The record is from RNAcentral.